CCUACGGGCGGCAGCAGUGGGGAAUAUUGCACAAUGGGGGAAACCCUGAUGCAGCGACGCCGCGUGCGUGAUGAAGUCUUUCGGUAUGUAAAGCUCUAUCAGCAGGGAAGAAAAUGACGGUACCUGAUUAAGAAGCCCCGGCUAACUCCGUGCCAGCAGCCGCGGUAAUACGUAGGGGGCAAGCGUUAACCGGAUUUACUGGGUGUAAAGAGAGCGUAGGCGGCAGCGCAAGUCUGAAGUGAAAUGCCGGGGCUUAACCGCGGAACUGCAUUGGAAACUGUGCAGCUAGAGUGCAGGAGAGGUAAGUGGAAUUCCUGGUGUAGCGGUGAAAUGCGUAGAUAUUAGGAGGAACACCAGUGGCGAAGGCGGGUUACUGGACUGUAACUGACGUUGAGGCUCGAAAGCGUGGGGAGCAAACAGGAUUAGAUACCCCUGUAGUC
This 440-nucleotide ribosomal RNA is filed under the name uncultured bacterium. RNAcentral's name for it is "partial 16S ribosomal RNA". It matches the Rfam family "Bacterial small subunit ribosomal RNA", at positions 338 to 795 of the family's 1533-position model. The record is from RNAcentral.